This is a non-coding RNA of Salmo salar (Atlantic salmon), 54 nucleotides long. NCBI's taxonomy places the organism in Eukaryota, Metazoa, Chordata, Actinopteri, Salmoniformes, Salmonidae. The record is from Rfam.
UGCACUCACUGUUGUAAGUUGCUUUGGAUAAAAGCAUCUGCUAAAUGAAUGUAU